RNAcentral lists this ribosomal RNA (546 nucleotides) under uncultured bacterium. Its description in RNAcentral is "bacterial SSU rRNA". It matches the Rfam family "Bacterial small subunit ribosomal RNA", at positions 338 to 884 of the family's 1533-position model. The record is from RNAcentral.
CCUACGGGAGGCAGCAGUAAGGAAUAUUGGUCAAUGGACGAAAGUCUGAACCAGCCAUGCCGCGUGAAGGAUGAAGGCCCUCUGGGUUGUAAACUUCUUUUAUCUGGGACGAAAAAAGGGGAUUCUUCCUCACUUGACGGUACCAGAGGAAUAAGCACCGGCUAACUCCGUGCCAGCAGCCGCGGUAAUACGGAGGGUGCAAGCGUUAUCCGGAUUCACUGGGUUUAAAGGGAGCGUAGGUGGGUCUGUAAGUCAGUGGUGAAAUCUCCGAGCUUAACUCGGAAACUGCCAUUGAUACUAUAGGUCUUGAAUUAUCUGGAGGUAAGCGGAAUAUGUCAUGUAGCGGUGAAAUGCUUAGAUAUGACAUAGAACACCAAUUGCGAAGGCAGCUUGCUACGGAUAUAUUGACACUGAGGCUCGAAAGCGUGGGGAUCAAACAGGAUUAGAUACCCUGGUAGUCCACGCCCUAAACGAUGGAUACUCGACANACANCGANACACUAGUUGGUUGUGUGNGNGAAGANAUAUAUACCACCNCGAGACGACG